This 6659-nucleotide long non-coding RNA is filed under the name Lactuca sativa (garden lettuce). RNAcentral's name for it is "long non-coding RNA (LSAT_LNC003530)". The record is from RNAcentral. Lineage: Eukaryota; Viridiplantae; Streptophyta; Magnoliopsida; Asterales; Asteraceae.
GUCAAGUAUCACAACAUAUGCAAUAUAGUAAUCAAAGUACAACAACCAUUGCAUUAAUAGUAAUAGUUUUACAUAGUUUACAUUUCAUAGAAACAUCGAAGUAAUACAAGUAAUAAUAAAGGUGCAGCUUGGUACAAAACUGUCUUCACCAAAAGCGCCCGAGAUGUACCUGUCUAUUGCAGAUCUGAGAAUACAAGUUAUUUUGAAAGCGAGUAUCAAAAAUUUUAUAAAUGCUAGUGAGUUCAUAAGUAUUUAGUGUCAUUUGUGUAAGUAAGCCUUUUAUUCAAAAUAACUUUAUAAAAAGUAGUAGUUUAGAGUCUACAGUGUAUUAGAGUCCUUUCCAGAAAAUCCUAUAUUUUCUUAAAUAAAAGUAGUCUUCUACCAAGACCCGACAGAGUUAUGUUGUAAAAGUAAUUUUCCCGUAAACACUAUCAUUACCAAAAUACGGUGUUUGAUUUUAAAGAAAGUAGGAGAAUAUCAGGGAAAAUAACAUAUGCCUCAGCAGUGAAGACUGCUGACUAAGGCAAAAGAGAUUAUAGACUCCAGGAGAGCAUAGAAUGAACGACACGCAUGGCUCAGUCUAACAAAAGGAGAUACAGACCCCAGACGGUAUCGAAUGAAUGAUACGUCUAUCAAGGACUAAAACAGAGAGACAGAAACCCCAGACAGUAUCAAUUGAAUGAUACGUCUAGCAAGGUCUAAAAACAGUGAAUACAGACCCCAGACAGUAUCAAAUGAAAGAUACAGCUAGCAAGGUCUAAAACAGUGUAAUUCUAAGAGUGUAUUUCCAGUAUACAAUGUUAAACUUCGUUACCUUAAGGCCAUGAAUUAUAAGGUAACAUGGAAUACUCAUAACCAUACUAAUCGACACUAGAGUACUUGACACCCUGCAAGCGUCCGUGUAAGUAUGACAUUUGUCACCCCUUGGCUUGGUAGGCCUUUGGACUGUAGUUAGCAGUCAGGGUGCGGGGGUGUCAAUCCCGUAUAGAUCUAUACACACAAUGUCCGCUCUCCCUACAAGAGACUCUGGUUACCAACUAGACAACGGAGAAGGCCGUGUCCUAAAGAUGUAUCCUGAACAGUGAAUUCUGAUGUAAGUGUUGGACUAGCAGUAGAGACUCAUAACUGAACCGAUCGAUGUAAACCCAUAUGUCUAUACAUGUAUACAUAACAUAUAAUUAAUGAUCAAAUGACCUUCGGAUGGAUAUCCGAUCCCACCAGACCACAUCUCAACGAAGAAAAGGAAAUAAGGCGAACUAGCCUUCCUAAGUCCUUUAAUCAUUAUUUAUAUAACUAUACAAGUACAGGCAUACAUUUAACGAUAUGGAAGCAUUUAACUAAGUAGAAGCGUUAACAAAGUAGGAGUGUUUCACGAAGUAGAAGCAUUUCUCGAAGUAAAAGUGUUAAUAAAGUAUAAGCAUUUACGAAGUAGUAGCAUUAAUAAAGUAGGAGCGGUUCGUGAAGUAGAAGCGGUAAUAAAGUAGGAGCAUUUACGAAGUAGUAGUAUAAAUAAAGUAGGAGCAGUUCGUGAAGUAGAAGCGGUAAUAAUGUAGGAGCGUUUACGAAGUAGUAGUAUUAACAAAGUAGAAGCAUUUACGAAGUAGUAGUAUUUCUCGAAGUAGAAGCAUUUAGCAAGUAUAAGCGUAUCACGAAGUAAAAGCGUUAACAAAGUAGUAGCAUUUAACUAAGUAGGAGUAUUAACUAAGUAGAAGUAUUAAGAAGCAGCAGUAUCUAACAAAGUAGGAAUAUAAAAACAUGGAAGAAAACCUUGAUGAAAACUUUGGAAAACCUUUAUACUUAAGAAAAUCACGACUUGGAAUUCUUUUGUAAAAUAAGUUUGAAAACCUUUAGAAUUCCUUUGGAAACCUUUCAUAAACGCAUUUUGAUAAAACAAUAUAAGUAAAGAUUUGAACAAGUAAAGUCGUUUUGGAAAAACCAUUUACAGUAUCAUACUUGGCAAAACAGUUGACAGUGUAAUAAAUCCUUGUGCAUGCGGGUUAUCAAUCACAUGUGAUUGAUAUGAUAACUGGCAUGUUUAACUUGUAUUCCCCCCACUAAAACAUGUAAAAACAUUUAAAAGGUUCAUUCAGGGGUAUGAACUCACCUGUUGUAAGUGGAUCCGACGGAGGUGCCGGUUGGGUUCUCGGUGUCAAGUAAAGACUUGAACACACUUAGUGACCUAUUAACAUAUGAUGACAUAUGUUUACAUACAAUUAGUACAUAUAAUACUAAUUAAACAAGUAUACGCAUCCUAAAGUGCGGAAAACACUUUGAUUAAGUGCUAGGGGUGUCCCGGGUAACAUUUAAGGGUGUGUAUGGCUUAGAUAGGGAGUUUACUCUUCAAGAGUAAACUCUUUAUAGAGUUCACGGCCCUGGGACUAACUCCCCAUGAGUUUACGGCCGUAAACUCAUGGUGAGGGUGUUCUAGGAUGCCAAAAGGUCUUAUAUCACUCAAAGAAUUAAGCUAGGUCCAAAUACAAAGUGUAUGAAUGGAUUUAAGGCAUCAAAUGGAUCAUUUGAGGAGUUUACGGCCCUAAAGAAGGAUUUUACGGGCAUAAGCUCCUAUAUGGAUGUUCUUUUUGUGUUUUAGGGUCUUAAAUGGUAGAGAAUAAAAUCCUAUGUAUUUUUCCAAGUCAAAAGAAGAGUUUAGGGCAUCAUAUGGGCAAUUAAUGGGAGUUUACGGCCCAUGGACCAAUUCUAUGGGGGUUUACGGCCGUAAACUCCUAUUUCCUUGGUUUAAUUGAAGUUUAAAUCCUUUACUUCAAUGGGGGUUGCUUCUAGAUAUUUUCCAAGGCCAUAGUAGGUAUUUGAGGGCAUUUCUAACACUUGAAUUCGAGUUUACUCCCCAUGAAGAGGAGUUUACGGCCCAAGCAUGUUCUUGGGUAGUAAACUCAAGUUUAUUCCCCAAAAGUUAAGUUCAAGGUGUUCUAAGUCCGUUCCCAUAAGUCAUUUAGCCAUAUCUAAGCCUUAGGGGUAGUUUAGAGGGGUUUUGGGGCUUAAAAACCCCAUUUAGGGGUGUUCACGGUCCAAGAGUGUUCUUGGGCCGUAAACACAUGAAUUUGACCCUAUUUGAUGUCUCAAACACGAAUUUGCAAAUUAGUUAAGCUAUACAACAAGUUAGGGUAGAUUGCUUACUCCUUUGGGGCUCAAAACGGGCGGUUUUUGGCUCGGAAACAAGUUGUAAAGAAAGAGUGUAGAGAGAGAGAGUGAAAAGGGUGGACAUGAAGUUUACUCUCCCUUAUAUAGGGGCUUGAGUUGAGGCUUAGUGGAAAUCUACCUGAUACUGCCGUUAAAUGGGGCUUUUGGUCGCACCCGAUUUAGUGGUCGUAUUUUGACUUGGUUGAAACUAAAACUUUUCAAGGGAUUAAUGAGGGUGUUUCUAAUUUGUUUCAACCCUUACAAAGUCAUUUAAAAAGUCCCAAAUUAAUUAGCCAGUCCAAAAUUUAACAGACAGUUAAAUAAAACGAGGCUUAUUAACGGAAAAGGGGUUAAAAAUGACAGAGUUGUCACAAUGGGUCUACAAAAUUCUGGGUUUGUAAACUAGGAACCAAAUCUCCGAUUGUGUGGUGUAUGUAUAUGCGUAGGUGAGGAGAAAAUGGGUAAUGGAUGAGUUGGGUUUGGAUUUUUGAAGAAGAUUAAGGUGUUUAAGAAUUUGAGUUGCAGGUUAGAUUUUAAGUUUAAGCUCUUGGUUUUGAUUUGAGGUUAGAAUUAGAUUUCAACAAUUGUGGUCAAAGGGGGGAAGGAGACGGUGGUCAAAGGGUGGUGGUGGUGGCGGACGAUGGUCAAAGGGUGGUGGUUGUGGAAGAUAUUCUUCAGUUCAUGAAUAUGUUCUUCAGUGUUCUUGAGAUUAUGAAGAUGUGCUCUUAAGAUUAUGAAGGUGUUCUUGGGUGUUGGGGGAGAGAGAGAGAGAGAGAGAGAGAGAGAGAGAGAGAGAGUGGUGAGUCCUCUAUUAUUUUUUUAAUUGUUAAAAUAAAUAAAUAAAUAUUAAAUUUUACGAAAAAUGAAAGAAAAAUAAAAAAUAAAUACCCCAAGGGUAUUAUAGUCAUUUCAAUUUUUGAAGGGACUAUUUUCACAUACAAACCACUCCAAAAGGACCACCAAUCCAAAAAAAUCAUGGUUUGGACUAAAACCCCAAAAUUUUACAUACCAUAGGGACCAUUUUUGCAAUUUUGUCAAUAUAAAAACAUGUAAUGUUUUAAACAUGUUAAAUUAUAAUCUUAAUGUUAAUAAAAAAAAUCAAUAGAGUCAUACCUUGAAUAUAUUCAGUCACAAGUCCAAAACUCCAUGUAAUUAACCAAGUUCAAUCAAAUGUAACAUUGUACAGCUCCAUGAAUAACAUUUGAAAAAUAAUAUGUCAAAAAGAAGAUGACAUUUCAUUCGGAGGGUAAUAAUAUUCUUAAGUAACUUACUAUUAUUGGUAUCAUUUUUGAACACUUGGUUAGGAUCUGGUCAGGAUUUGGAUGAGCAACUUGACUUGUAUACCCUGGAAUAAUUUAUCCGAAAUCAUAUCAGGCUAUCAAGGCAACCUUAAUUUUGCACUAACUUGAGAUAUUGAUAUUUACCUCAAACUUGACAUCAGGGUUAGUAGAAAAGUCACCGACUUCACCUGCAAAGUCUAAAAAUAUUGGUAUUUACCUCAAAAGCAGGGCUGGAAAAGUCACAUGCUCAAUCAUCUAAAAAUAAUAAUGAAGUGUUAAAAAAAAUAAGUAUUAAAAACAAAAAAUUAUUUUGUAUAUAUUGGUGCCCUUCAAUGUUUUAAUUUAAACCCAAAACCACAUGCUUGAUUUUUUUCACCAAUAAUAACAUACAUGUGAUUUGUUUAUAUUAAAACUUAUUGUCUUAUUUGCUUUCACCCAAUAUUAUAAAUUCCAAACCCGAAUACAUGUGCAUAUAAAAUAUUCAACAUUCUUCUUCUCUGAGUUUGUGUUUGUAUUUAUUGUCUAGCUUUGACUCACCAUGUGCAGAUAAAGCAUUGUACCUGGAUACAUUCAAGGAUAAAAAGAUGAAAACAACUAAAAACAUAAUAGAUAAUUCGCAUUCUGGAAAGCAUUAUACCUGAGCAACUUUGAUGGACCAUGUCAGAUAAAACAUUGCACAUCUUAACAUCAACUAAAGCUAAUGUUUUAACCAAACCCAUUGAAAUCGUAAUGAAGAUAGAGUGAGAAUAAGAACAUGCCAUGAGUCAUGAACACAAGAGGCUACAACAAUAUUAUGAAAAAACAAUUAAGAAGGUGAAUUUAAGUGAAAGUUUAAGUGAUUUCAUAGUAUCUACCAAACAAAAUACGAAAAUUAGAACCUAGCCGAGUUUAAUCAAGAAAUAAUUUUCUUAAACAUUUCAUCGAGCACAUGGUAGGCUAAAAUCUGUGAAUAUAAGAAUCAAAAUCAAAGGUAGUCUUUAAAAUCAUAAGUUAAAAAAUAUUAAAUAUCAUGCUUAUACAAACAAAGAUUUUUCAAAUUACCUUGGCCUAAUAUAAGAAACAACAGGGAGAAGCAGCGAACCUGAAUAGACAAACAGAGGACGGCGGUAAAGGUGGACUUAUAGAGAGUCGAUCAUACAUUUAAGGGGGAAGAAUACUUGCGUGAAGACGUGAGGGUUUACGUGGGAAGGGAUAGCUAAUGACCCUCUUCUAGGUCGUAGCAGCAACAUUAGGAGGUGGUGGGAACAAAGGUUGUCUAAGACCGAAGAGAGUAAGGAGAGAGACACAAGACAUGCAGUUUGAUGGUGGCCAUAAGGUAUGCGUUUACGCUUGGUUUCUAAGCUUAACAUGAUUAUCAUCUGCAACCACAAAAAAACCAAAUUAAUAUUAAUACACACCAAGAUUCAAAAACAAUGAAAUUGAAUUUAUUUUAAUGGAUUUCAGGUUUCAAACUAAAGAAGAAGACAAUAGGAAAGAAAGAAAGAUUUUCGGUUGUAGCCAACACCACGACCACCGAUAUGAAAUUCCAUGAAUUAAAAUAAGGAAUACAAAAAAAAAACUACCAGUGUCGUCAUUCUCCUCAAACUGUAAACAUAUUUGUCGUCGUUCUCUUGCUAAAGUUUGAAACAAAAUUUGAAAUUAGUCAAUUAGGCAUAAAUAUAUGUACAAAUUGGGGAGAAAUUCAGGGAAAACGAAAUUGGAAGAGAUAAAGAUAACGAAUAUAGGUAGAAUCUGAAACGGAAGAAUAAUAUUAUCAUUGGAUAAAUUAAAAAAAAAUGAUAUUCAAAUUAGUUCAUACUAUAAAAAAAAUCAAGAAGACAGAUGCAUUUACUUUGUUACCUUUGUUUCUAGCAAGCAUCAUUGUUUCAUGAAGCUAUAGAGGGUGGACUUUAAUUAGGGCAUAAGGAAUAUACAUGUAAAGGAGGAGGAAGGCAUCCAGAGAGGGGAAGAGCAAAAGGGGUAUAUCCUGAAUGGAUCCAGAGAUGUAGGUGGUGGCGGUGAAAUGUAGGGUUUAUGGAGAACAGGAGAGCAGGGUGGUGAGAUGCAACAUAUAGGGGAAGGAGGAGAGGAUGAUCCAAGGCGUUGCCCAAUUCAAUAAGUCAGAGGUGUUAUAUAACUUUAAUCUAACAGAUUCAUUUGAUUUUGACCGAUUCAAAAAGGCUGAAAUUGUGAAUCUUGGUUUAACUUGUUGACUGAUUAACCUGAUGGGAUAAGAUCUGAUUGCAUAAACUUGUUGUGAAU